Molecule: unclassified non-coding RNA, 398 nt
Filed under: soil metagenome
Description: partial contains 5.8S ribosomal RNA, internal transcribed spacer 2, and large subunit ribosomal RNA
Rfam family: 5.8S ribosomal RNA (bases 1-122)
Source: RNAcentral
GAUGAAGAACGUAGCGAAAUGCGAUACUUGGUGUGAAUUGCAGAAUCCCGUGAACCAUCGAGUCUUUGAACGCAAGUUGCGCCUCAAGCCAUUAGGUUGAGGGCACGUCUGCCUGGGCGUCACAUAUCGUUGCCUGAUGCCAGUUUCCUCGUGAUGGGUGACUGUGCAGGGCGAAUGAUGGCUUCCCGUGAGCAUUGUUGCCUCAUGGUUGGUUGAAAAUUGAGUCCUUGGUAGGGAGCGCCGUGAUAGAUGGUGGUUGAGUGACGAACGAGACCCAAUCAUGUGAGACCCCUACCGAAUUUGGCCUUCAUGACCCACAUGCGUCUUUGGAACGCUCAUGACGAGACCUCAGGUCAGGCGGGGCUACCCGCUGAGUUUAAGCAUAUCAAUAGCGGAGA